AUUCUUAGCGCAGGAUCCUAUUCUCAGCUCAACCCUCUGACCACUCUGCAUCUCUGAUGAGUCACCAGGAAAUCCCCCUGGAAUUCCCAGGUGCAUUACCAGACCCACAUUUAAGAUCUAGGCUGAUAAAAGGAAUUAAGAACAUUAGGAAGAGCAGCUGGAUCACCCUGGCAAGUACCUCAGGAAGGCAGAGCUAACUGCUCCUAAUACGGCUGGAGAGCCAGGGUUUUUUGGUUUUGGUUUCAUCUGUAACUCAGGCAAACACACACUAUGCAAAAGAAAAAUUCUGGAAGAGUUCAUUAACAGAUCACUUCAAAAUAUUAUUUUUUGUUUUGGAGACAAUUGCAAUCACACUUUGCUAAGCCUCUGCCUUCUUAAAGACCAGAGCAGGAGCCACCAGUGCUGCCUGCCACCUGCUUCCCAUCAACCCAGGCUUCUGCAAUCAGUCUGCAUAGCCUCUCCUCACUUUGACCUCUUAUGGUCCAGGGAAUGGUGGAAUAUAUAAUAUGGAGUAACCAAGUGACUUUUUGGUGUACAAUAUACCAUCACU
Molecule: long non-coding RNA, 550 nt
Organism: Dromaius novaehollandiae (emu)
Lineage: Eukaryota; Metazoa; Chordata; Aves; Casuariiformes; Dromaiidae
Exons: 4
Source: RefSeq, a predicted model, not a curated record